UCAGAUUACACGCUGGUGAUACAGCAACGGACGAUGAAAUUAAACAAUUCUGUAAAGGGCAGAUUGCACAUUUUAAAAUUCCAAGAUAUGUCAAGUUCGUUGAUGAAUUCCCUAUAACUGUCACCGGAAAGGUCAGAAAAUCUGUCAUGAGAGAAGAAAUGACUCGUGAACUUGGUUUAUGAUCAGGCAC
Long non-coding RNA from Exaiptasia diaphana, 190 nucleotides. RefSeq lists it as uncharacterized. The record is from RefSeq and is a predicted model, not a curated record. NCBI's taxonomy places the organism in Eukaryota, Metazoa, Cnidaria, Anthozoa, Actiniaria, Aiptasiidae. The transcript has 3 exons.